This 93-nucleotide microRNA precursor is filed under the name Lepisosteus oculatus (spotted gar). RNAcentral's name for it is "miRNA (ENSLOCG00000019801.1)". The record is from RNAcentral. Lineage: Eukaryota; Metazoa; Chordata; Actinopteri; Semionotiformes; Lepisosteidae.
GCCCUGGUGGCGCUGUGGCUCGUCUCCUUCCUGGUGGGCUUCCUGCCCGGGAUGGUGCGCGAGCUGCAGCAGAGCGACUACAAAGGCUUCUGC